CAGUAGCCACGGUAAUACGUAGGUGGCAAGCGUUGUCCGGAAUUAUUGGGCGUAAGGGCUCGCAGACGGUUUCUUAAGUCUGAUGUGAAAGCCCCCGGCUCAACCGGGGAGGGUCAUUGGAAACUGGGAAACUUGAGUGCAGAAGAGGAGAGUGGAAUUCCACGUGUAGCGGUGAAAUGCGUAGAGAUGUGGAGGAACACCAGUGGCGAAGGCGACUCUCUGGUCUGUAACUGACGCUGAGGAGCGAAAGCGUGGGGAGCGAACAGGAUUAGAUACCCGGUAGUCCCUGUCUCUUAUACAC
RNAcentral lists this ribosomal RNA (301 nucleotides) under uncultured bacterium. Its description in RNAcentral is "partial 16S ribosomal RNA". It matches the Rfam family "Bacterial small subunit ribosomal RNA", at positions 509 to 809 of the family's 1533-position model. The record is from RNAcentral.